GAGCUCUCUCUGGGACACGGGUGAGGCGUUAGAUGCGUUUCGUUGUAACUCGGAAACGAGUCGCAUUUUGCAAUUAGUUGAGUCACCUGUGAAUCAUCUAUUCCAACACUCACACCACACCAUUCACCAGCUACAGUGAGUGCAAAAAUUUAAGCUAUCAAUCGACAUUUUGAUAAAUGAGCUUUCUGCUGCUGCUGCUGCUGCCGCUACCGUUGCUGUCGCUGCCCCCUGCCAUGUUGGUGAUGCGUUGUCUAAGAAGCAAAUAACAAAAGUUCCCCGCGAGUGUCGGUCGAACUCAAAUUGGCCGCCAGCUAUGGGCCAAGCAAAUACAACAUAUUUGUGGCUUAAACAAGUGGCUAAUAUUUGGCAACAAAUGGAAGUUGGAAUGCUCUUACUAAGGUAUAUUUAAAAAGUGUUCAAAAAGGUGAUACAACUUUUAAAAAUAUUCCAAAUAAAUGUGG
Molecule: long non-coding RNA, 461 nt
Filed under: Drosophila guanche
Lineage: Eukaryota; Metazoa; Arthropoda; Insecta; Diptera; Drosophilidae
Source: RNAcentral